Molecule: long non-coding RNA, 1361 nt
Filed under: Homo sapiens (human)
Lineage: Eukaryota; Metazoa; Chordata; Mammalia; Primates; Hominidae
Description: PREDICTED lncRNA (TCONS_00007034)
Source: RNAcentral
GUCAGGGUUCACUCCUAGUUGACCACUGCCAAAAGGGCAUGGUUAUUGACCAGAUGACAUGGUCAUUCAGGGAAGGAUGGACCAUGUAGGGCAGGGGUUCCCAACCCUUACUGGUCCGUGGCCUGUUAGGAACUGGGCUGCACAGCAGGAGGUGAGCUUCUUCAUGAGCCAGCAUUACGGCCUGAGCUCCUCCUCCUGUCCAAUCAGUGGCGACAUUAGAUUCUCAUAGAAACAUGAAUCCUAUUGUGAAUUGUGCGUGCCUGAUGAUCUGAGGUGGAACAGUUACCUUCCAAAACCGUCCCCACUUCACCCCCCGGCUGUGGAAAAGUUGCCUUCCACAAAAUCCAUCCCUAGUGCCAAAAAGGUUGGGGACCACUGGUAUAGAGGUAUCCUCAGUAGGACUCAGCAAGCUGGCAACCCUAAUUAUGUCUAUUAGGACACCCCAAGAAUGGCUCUCUGCUGGAAGUAAAAACGGUUAAUGCCUUAUGGAUUCAUUUUCUAAGGCCAGGUUUCCCAAGGGGGUAAAGGGCAUGUCUUUUGUGAAAAGGACCUGGAUGCUAAACAGGCAACCCUUUCCCCCAUCAACUUUCUCCUUAGAGCUAUUUCCAGCUCCAGUGCUGAAUGCAUCUGUGACAUCCCCACUCCUGGGGGGAAUCUGGUCACCCUGAGCUGUGAAACAAAGUUGCUCUUGCAGAGGCCUGGUUUGCAGCUUUACUUCUCCUUCUACAUGGGCAGCAAGACCCUGCGAGGCAGGAACACAUCCUCUGAAUACUAAAUACUAACUGCUAGAAGAGAAGACUCUGGGUUAUACUGGUGCGAGGCUGCCACAGAGGAUGGAAAUGUCCUUAAGCGCAGCCCUGAGUUGGAGCUUCAAGUGCUUGGCCUCCAGUUACCAACUCCUGUCUGGUUUCAUGUCCUUUUCUAUCUGGCAGUGGGAAUAAUGUUUUUAGUGAACACUGUUCUCUGGGUGACAAUACGUAAAGAACUGAAAAGAAAGAAAAAGUGGAAUUUAGAAAUCUCUUUGGAUUCUGGUCAUGAGAAGAAGGUAAUUUCCAGCCUUCAAGAAGACAGACAUUUAGAAGAAGAGCUGAAAUGUCAGGAACAAAAAGAAGAACAGCUGCAGGAAGGGGUGCACCGGAAGGAGCCCCAGGGGGCCACGUAGCAGCGGCUCAGUGGGUGGCCAUCGAUCUGGACCGUCCCCUGUCCACUUGCUCCCCGUGAGCACUGCGUACAAACAUCCAAAAGUUCAACAACACCAGAACUGUGUGUCUCAUGGUAUAUAACUCUUAAGGCAAAUAAAUGAACUGACUUCAACUGGGAUACAUUUGGAAAUGUGGUCAUCAAAGAUGACUUGAAAUGAG